This 306-nucleotide ribosomal RNA is filed under the name uncultured Fibrobacter sp. RNAcentral describes it as "partial 16S ribosomal RNA". The record is from RNAcentral. Lineage: Bacteria; Pseudomonadati; Fibrobacterota; Fibrobacteria; Fibrobacterales; Fibrobacteraceae.
GGAGUCUGGGCCGUCUCUCAGUCCCAAUGUGGCCGAUCGCCCUCUCAGGCCGGCUACCGAUCGUCGCCUUGGUGGGCCGUUGCCCCGCCAACUAGCUAAUCGGACGCAAGCUCAUCCCGCAUCGAUAAAUCUUUCGUCAACGGCCCAUGUGGACCGCCACGGCUCCCGGCAUUAGCCGCGCGUUGGCACGGUUGUUCCGGAAUGCGGGGCAGAUUGCUUACGCGUUACUCACCCAUUCGCCGCUCGGCUCGUAUUGCUACGUCCUCGCUCGACUUGCAUGUAUAAGACACUCCACCAGCGUUCGUU